CAAGUAAGAGAAAGGUAUUUUUUACUCAGACUUGAAUGCUAAUUGGUGUUAAGAUGUCUGUAGUUAAAAUAAAGUUGGGCCCAAUAAACUGGUAGAUCAAAGGCCUGUUGAGCGCUCAUGCCCGGUGUGAUUUUAACAAUUGACUCCAAAUGCGUUGACAAGAAAAUAAGUAAAACUGUUAUUGAAUGUGAUUGGUUGAUAAAAUCAACGUACUAUAGGCUACAUUUUGUCUGCGAUAUCAUCUCGGUGGAAGCGGACAUUAAAUGAAGUGAUUUCACACAAUUAAUUUAACAUUUAACAACGUGCUGAAAUGAUUUUGGAGCAGUGAUAUGUUUGACAAAUGUAAGCUAAUGGUCACAUAGAAUACAAGACCGCAGGUUUGUGAAUAUUUAUAUAAAAAAAAUAAUACCAUGUAUGUAAUUUAGCAUCGAUAUUGUUUCUCUGUAUAAUGUUAGUAUUUUGUUCCUUAAAAAAAACUCCAACAAUUUAAACCGGAAGUUCAUGUUUAUAAUAUGGCGCGGUCAGGAAAAAAAUUUCGGCAUGUUAUUAUCAAAUCUGUUCAAUUUUUUCUGAAAUCAUGCUUAAUUAAUAUUAGUUGUUCGGCGCUACGAUGUUGUUCAAAUAUUUACAUUACAGAAUCACAUUAUGAUUGAAGCAGAAACGGCUCGACUUGAACCAGCAGACGGAAGAUAUGGACGAACAACAAGAAGAAGUUAUGGAGGUCCCAACAACUGAACCUAUGGAAGUAGAAGAAUCGUUUACAGCCGAAACCCGAUACGAUGUGCCAGUUCCGGUCAUGGAGUCCUCCAUCUCAGACGAUGCCGACGUUAGUGUCUUCUGCGACGAAGAACCCGUAGUGGUGUAUACGCAGGUAGAAGCUGGUUCCUCCGUGGCAAGUCCAAGUUGUUUGACAACCAAGGUUUUAAUUAUACAAUUAAGACAGAGAAGAAAACUACGAUUUGGAGGUGUUCCAUCUUCACCCAGCAGAACCCGGUAUACACACGGCUACCAAGAUAAAAGUUACAGCAAAGCAUGAAGCCAAAGGAAAUGUUUUUACCAAGUCAUGUUCCUCAAUAGCGGAGAGAGUUUUAUCCAGUGUCGGUUCUGCAGAAGAACCCAUUCAUAGCAGACCACCCAUGGCAGCACUUGUAAGGUCGCUACAAAGAACCCGACAGACUCUGCGACCAAAAGAUCCCACUGACGUGUCGUCAAGCCUUGACGAAGAUUUCAUCGAUCAUAGUGCACCGGGAUUUUAUCAAAAAAGAGUAAAAGUUGGGGAAAGGCGCCAUCACAUUUUUUGUACUGAUAGACAGAUGCAACUACUCGCACGCGCAAAAACUUGGUAUAUAUGGAUGCAACUUUUCGGGUGGUGAACAAGCCAUGGUCUCAGCUGUUUUCCAUCCACGCCUUCAUUAAGACCACCCGACAGUUACCAUUGGUGUUUUGUGUUAUGUCGGGUAAAAGCCAAGACGACUAUUAUAAGUCAAUGAUGAUAUGUGACUCUUUCCACCUUCCGGCAAUAAUUAUUGACAAUUUACCAAGGACUCCAUUGGCAUUGAAUCGAAGAAAAACAGUUUCAAUAUUUGAUGUAUAUGCAAAUCACCCAGAAAAAGAUCAUGUAAUAACAAAAGAAAUUAUAAAAGAAAAAAAUGGAAGAAGAAAUGGCUGGAAAAAAUGAUAAUAGAGCAGCUUUUUCUUGUUACCCACCUCGGAAGAUCAAGUUGGAAAGGGCUAUUGAUAUUGUGGAGACGUUUUCUCACAGAUCUUGCUUAUCAGACAAAGACUAUGCUGGAACACCAUUGAAAGAGUAUUUGCUGUAUGAUAACAACAAGAAAACCCAAGCAUCAAUUUAUUUUAUACUUCUGGGAAAGAAUGCAUUUGACCCAAUUUUUAAAUAUUUAUUUUUUGUUAUUAAUGUUAAAUUUUCUUCCAAAACACAAUUAGAUUUUAAUUCUCUUCAGAAAUGUAUGUAUAAUAUAGCAAGUAAAGUGACAUAUAAAUCACUUAGAAUUUGGUCAGAAAUCAUAAAGUAUUUAAUGGGCAUUACUAGAAACCAAAUGUAGAUCAAAUACACCCAGAAUUACAAAAAACCUUGACCUACAUAAAGGUGACUUUCCCUUGCUUAUGAAAUGAAAUACGGUUUAGUAUCCUACUUUUCUGUGUUCUUAGAGUGAUUCUGCCCUACACCCUACUCUUAUAUCAAAUAUUUCAACUGUCAAGGGUUCUUUAACGGGAACCGGGGGGGGGGG
This is a long non-coding RNA of Patella vulgata (common limpet), 2249 nucleotides long. RefSeq lists it as uncharacterized. The record is from RefSeq and is a predicted model, not a curated record. NCBI's taxonomy places the organism in Eukaryota, Metazoa, Mollusca, Gastropoda, Patellidae. The transcript is spliced from 9 exons.